This 835-nucleotide ribosomal RNA is filed under the name uncultured bacterium. Its description in RNAcentral is "bacterial SSU rRNA". It matches the Rfam family "Bacterial small subunit ribosomal RNA", at positions 21 to 868 of the family's 1533-position model. The record is from RNAcentral.
GGCUCAGGACGAAUGCUGGCUGCGUGCUUAACACAUGCAAGUCGAACGGUGAACAGGGGCUUGCCCCUGGGAUCAGUGGCGAACGGGUGAGUAACACGUGGGCAACCUGCCCCUCACUCUGGGAUAACUCCGGGAAACCGGGGCUAAUACCGGAUACGACCUUGAGCGACAUCGCUCGAGGUGGAAAGAACUUCGGUGAGGGAUGGGCCCGCGGCCUAUCAGCUAGUUGGUGGGGUAACGGCCCACCAAGGCGACGACGGGUAGCCGGCCUGAGAGGGCGACCGGCCACACUGGGACUGAGACACGGCCCAGACUCCUACGGGAGGCAGCAGUGGGGAAUAUUGCGCAAUGGGCGAAAGCCUGACGCAGCGACGCAGCGUGAGGGACGAAGGCCUUCGGGUUGUAAACCUCUUUCAGCGGGGACGAAGCGAAAGUGACGGUACCCGCAGAAGAAGCACCGGCUAACUACGUGCCAGCAGCCGCGGUAAUACGUAGGGUGCAAGCAUUGUCCGGAUUUAUUGGGCGUAAAGAGCUCGUAGGCGGCUUGUCACGUCGGGUGUGAAAACUCGGGGCUUAACCCCGAGCCUGCACUCGAUACGGGCUAGCUAGAGUGUUGCAGGGGAGACUGGAAUUCCUGGUGUAGCGGUGAAAUGCGCAGAUAUCAGGAGGAACACCGGUGGCGAAGGCGGGUCUCUGGGCAACUACUGACGCUGAGGAGCGAAAGCGUGGGGAGCGAACAGGAUUAGAUACCCUGGUAGUCCACGCCGUAAACGUUGGGCGCUAGGUGUGGGGAACCUUCCACGUUCUCCGUGCCGUAGCUAACGCAUUAAGCGCC